UUACAGUGUAGACAGCGCUGUUUACCAUUUAGCAUCCUGCAGUAAGAAGUAAUCAACAGAUCACAGAAAAGAAAUAAUGCCAAGGCGUUGCAUGCCUAAAAGUGGGACAAGACGAUAUGUUGUUCAAAGUAAACAAGCAAGCUUCAGUUAAAGCUGUCAAAUCUGGUAGAAUGUCACAACACGCAGCUAGUUCUUGCUUCAACAUUGCACGAACAACUUUACAAAAUGAAAUUAAUGGAAACCAUUUUUUGAAAGGAGGUCAGGCAGUUUUGACCACAGAAGAGAA
Long non-coding RNA from Centruroides sculpturatus (bark scorpion), 286 nucleotides. RefSeq lists it as uncharacterized. The record is from RefSeq and is a predicted model, not a curated record. The transcript has 2 exons. NCBI's taxonomy places the organism in Eukaryota, Metazoa, Arthropoda, Arachnida, Scorpiones, Buthidae.